RNAcentral lists this ribosomal RNA (1521 nucleotides) under Progarypus sp. JM-2008. Its description in RNAcentral is "SSU rRNA". It matches the Rfam family "Eukaryotic small subunit ribosomal RNA". Lineage: Eukaryota; Metazoa; Arthropoda; Arachnida; Pseudoscorpiones; Olpiidae. The record is from RNAcentral.
UGCAUGUCUAAGUACACGCCCUAGCAAGGCGAAACCGCGAAUGGCUCAUUAAAUCAGUUAUGGUUCCUUAGAUCGUACACGAUUACUUGGAUAACUGUGGUAAUUCUAGAGCUAAUACAUGCAUCUGGGCCUUCGACCUUCGCGGGAGAAGGUGCUUUUAUUAGACCAAGACCAGACGGGUUCGCCCGAACGUCGUGGUGACUCUGGAUAACUUUGGCGGAUCGCACGGUCUCAGCACCGGCGACGCAUCUUUCAAGUGUCUGCCUUAUCAACUGUCGAUGGUAGGUUAUGCGCCUACCAUGGUUGUAACGGGUAACGGGGAAUCAGGGUUCGAUUCCGGAGAGGGAGCCUGAGAAACGGCUACCACAUCCAAGGAAGGCAGCAGGCGCGCAAAUUACCCACUCCCGGCACGGGGAGGUAGUGACGAAAAAUAACAAUACGGGACUCUAAAGAGGCCCCGUAAUUGGAAUGAGUACACUCUAAACCCUUUAACGAGGAUCUAUUGGAGGGCAAGUCUGGUGCCAGCAGCCGCGGUAAUUCCAGCUCCAAUAGCGUAUAUUAAAGUUGUUGCGGUUAAAAAGCUCGUAGUUGGAUCUCAGUCGUGCUCCCGUCGAAGCGUUGCAAGACGUGUUUCGUCGGGGCCGACAAGUCGUCGGUCGUCUCGGUUGGCCUUAAAAAGCUGAUCGGGUUGCCCGACACCUUUACUUUGAAAAAAUUAGAGUGCUCAAAGCAGGCCGGUGCCUGAAUAUUGGUGCAUGGAAUAAUAGAAUAGGACCUCGGUUCUAUUUUGUUGGUUUUUGGAACCCGAGGUUAUGAUUAAGAGGGACAGACGGGGGCAUUCGUAUUGCGGCGCUAGAGGGAAANNNNNNNNNNNNNNNNUUAAAGGAAUUGACGGAAGGGCACCACCACGAGUGGAGCCUGCGGCUUAAUUUGACUCAACACGGGAAAACUUACCCGGCCCGGACACCGGAAGGAUUGACAGAUUAAUAGCUCUUUCUUGAUUCGGUGGGUGGUGGUGCAUGGCCGUUCUUAGUUGGUGGAGUGAUUUGUCUGGUUAAUUCCGAUAACGAACGAGACUCUAGCCUACUAAAUAGACCCACGGUCCGAAGUACCGUGAUCGGGUCUUCUUAGAGGGACAGGCGGCUUUUAGCCGCACGAAACGGAGCAAUAACAGGUCUGUGAUGCCCUUAGAUGUCCGGGGCCGCACGCGCGCUACACUGAAGGAAUCAACGUGUGUCUACCCUGGUCCGAGAGGACUGGGUAACCCCGUGAACCUUCUUCGUGCUAGGGAUAGGGGAUUGUAAUUGUUCCCCUCGAACGAGGAAUUCCCAGUAAGCGCGAGUCAUCAGCUCGCGUUGAUUACGUCCCUGCCCUUUGUACACACCGCCCGUCGCUACUACCGAUUGAAUGAUUUAGUGAGGUCUUCGGACCGGUGCAUCGAGCGGCUUCGGCCGUUCGCAGCGCUGGGAAGAUGACCGAACUUGAUCAUUUAGAGGAAGUAAAAGUCGUAACAAGGUUGCC